GCAAGUCGAACGAGACUUCGGUCUAGUGGCGGACGGGUGAGUAACGCGUAGGAACCUGCCAAGCAGUGGGGAAUAACAGUUGGAAACGGCUGCUAAUACCGCAUACGCCCUUCGGGGGAAAGAUUUAUCGCUGUUUGAGGGUCCUGCGUUCGAUUAGCUAGUUGGUGAGGUAAUGGCCUACCAAGCCUACGAUCUAUAGCUGGUUUGAGAGGAUGAUC
RNAcentral lists this ribosomal RNA (218 nucleotides) under uncultured bacterium. RNAcentral describes it as "partial 16S ribosomal RNA". It matches the Rfam family "Bacterial small subunit ribosomal RNA", at positions 57 to 305 of the family's 1533-position model. The record is from RNAcentral.